AGAUCUGCCAAUGGAUGUUGCAAUUAGUGUUCACUGACUUACAAAGCCAGAAGUUGCACUCUAUGAUUUGACAAGGGGAUUUCAUCGUAAGUGUCUUACCUUCAAUCACUGCUAAUGGCUCUUCUGGCAUAAAUUCAGAAAAGGCCUGACUACUUCUAUUUGAAUAGAAGACACAAGUGGACAAGCAGGAAGGAGUUAUGAUGUAAUUAAAUUGCACGGGGAGACAAGCUUUAAUUAAGAAAGUGAAUUAUUUAAAUUUUAAAGUUGCUUGUUCCUUUUUAGCCUAAUGGCUCAAGACAUUAUGAGUGUGUCCUGAUAAAAGCAUCAAGAGUGCAUGAUCAGGCAUCAGUGCAGAAUUCUAAAUAAAUGUUGUCCGUGCACGAUGCUCACCUUGUAGUAACUUACUAAAAGAACGAGUUACAACAACUCUUAUCUACUUUGUUCUCUCUUGUCUGUUAAACUGGGAGAAGACACAGAUCCUUAUCUGCACACCAUGGACUGAAUUAAUCAAAAUAAUCAUAUUUGAUUUUGUAUGCAUGAAACUGUAUUGCUAUUGUCUCAAAAGAGCUGAUUUAAGAAUGGUUCAAAGAUUCUCCAGGAAACUCUAUGGCAGAUAGAUUUUUAACACAGAACUUACUAUUUUAUAAAAAUAAGCAUAUUUUUAAAAGAACACUAAACUGAGUUUCUUUUUUAAAAUGCUGGAAUAUAACUGGUGCCUGGGGCAUUGUUUUGUUUUUAAUCUAAUUACAUUCGUGAGAAAACUUGAUUUAAAAAACAAAUUACUUUUGGUUCAAAUUUCUCUUAUUCCUGUCUUUUACAAAUGAUCUUGGCUUCCUCUUCCCCAGCUUUCUUUGUCUGGGAUAUUCAAAAGAGCUUAGCAUUGGUCUAACUUUGCACUUACUGAAGUCAAUGGCUGAGCUCAUUUGAAAAUCAUUGGGAGAACUCCUGCUGUCCAGGGUGAGAUUAGAUUAACAUGCCCUACUUAAUACUGAAGAUGUGUGGUCUUCAGAGGGUUUUUCUUUUCCGAACUAAAAUAAAGCUUUCUGAUUGUACCUCCACUUUGUAGAAGAGAUAUCUAUGAAGAAACUCAUUUGUUUAGAUGCUCUGAUAAUUAUUGUUAAUGUGCAAUAGUUGUAUAGUGGUUAAAAAGCUGACAUGGGAUAUUGAGUGGAUCUGGAUGUUUGUAAGAUAUUCAAAACAGGAGUUAGGGUGAAAAAUUACUAUUGGAAAAUGGUUCUAAAAACUGCAUGAACUCAAUUAGAAGUUUUAGCUCAGGUCCUAAUAAACAAAUGCCUAGUGCAAGAGAUAGGGUCUGUGAACUAGUGGGUCUUUUCCAUCUCUAAUUUGUAUGAUGAGUGUGUAUUCAUCUUGAUUGUCAUGACCUAGUAUUCUCAGGAGAAAAUCUGUCUGAAUCAACAGAAAGAAAGAAAUACCAUUUCUGAAAAUCCAGAGAGGACCUUAGUCUUUGGAACUGGCAUUUCACAAACAGACUUCAUAUCUAUUACUGGAUAUUAGUUUAUCACCAAAGUGGAGCCAAAUAGUAAUUUACAGUUCAAUGGAAUGGAAGUGAAAAAUGGUUGUUUUGUGUAAGACUCAAAAGUUUGACCAGGGGUGUCAAAUUCGCAUGGGUCCCCAGGAACCUCAUAGGUUGGAUCUGGACCUGGCAGUGGUGGUAGGGUGAGCAGUGGAGGCAGCAGGGUAGGUGCUAGUCUAGGGUUAGCAUUAGCCCUUCCCCUGAAUCCCUGGCUCCUCUGAGAGGUCUGUGGAUUGCAUCUGGAUUCAGGCUAUAUCUUUGACAUCCUUGCUCUACAUUAUACACACCUCUGUGAGUGCCCUAUGUGGCUUCCUGUCCUGAAUGUUCCCAAGGCUACCUAAAACUUCACAGUAAGUUCUCGUUUUCAUCUGGAAUAAGGUUCUUAUAGAAGGACACUCUUUCUCCCUACGUGAGUCCCUGAUACAAAUCCCAAAUACCUUCAGUUCUCUUUAGCCUCAGUAUGUCUCAGCUGGUAAAUAGUACACUUCAAUAAAAUAUAUGUCAGAAAAAGUGUACAAAACUUGUAUCUUAAUGGUCCAGAUCCUCAAAUGUACCUGAGGAAGAGGAUGAGGCAUAGGUAGCUUGCUGCCAUCUUUCAGCUCCCCUUAUUCUGGUGUUGGCCAGGUGCCACUUUGCCACCUAGAAUGAGAAAAAAAAAAUCCAAAUUUUACUCAGAUUUGGCACAUGACAAUCUGGAGAAGCUGCUCUACCAUCCCAGAACUUCCAGAGCACAAUCCUGUCCCAGCAAAGUCGCUUCAAGGGGAUGAGGAGAGAAGAUCACUCUAAUUUUAAUCUACUUUAGCCAUAGCUGGCUUUUAAACUGCUACUAUUUUGUUUGGGCCGCCAGAACAACAGACAGUAAAACAGAAGGAAGAAACCAACCCAUUCAAUGAAAAAAUAAAAUAACACAGAACAAUUCCUACAAGUUUUGCUGCAUAAUAAUUAAAUCAUCUAAUAGCAGAUGGACAAGGGAAUGAAAGCAUUCUGGAAGAACAUGAAAUA
Long non-coding RNA from Alligator mississippiensis (American alligator), 2536 nucleotides. RefSeq lists it as uncharacterized. The transcript is spliced from 3 exons. Lineage: Eukaryota; Metazoa; Chordata; Crocodylia; Alligatoridae. The record is from RefSeq and is a predicted model, not a curated record.